This 26-nucleotide non-coding RNA is filed under the name Xenopus laevis (African clawed frog). Its record names the gene xla-miR-221-5p. RNAcentral also lists the same sequence under 1 other name. The record is from miRBase by way of RNAcentral. Lineage: Eukaryota; Metazoa; Chordata; Amphibia; Anura; Pipidae.
ACCUGGCAUACAAUGUAGAAAACUGU